GCGGGAUUAGUAUAGUGGUAGUACGCCACCUUGCCAAGGUGAUGGCGCCGGUUCGAUUCCGGUAUCCCGCUCAA
Molecule: transfer RNA, 74 nt
Filed under: Candidatus Liptonbacteria bacterium RIFCSPHIGHO2_01_FULL_56_18b
Lineage: Bacteria; Candidatus Liptoniibacteriota
Description: tRNA-Gly
Rfam family: tRNA
About the family: Transfer RNA (tRNA) molecules are approximately 80 nucleotides in length.
Source: RNAcentral